RNAcentral lists this ribosomal RNA (894 nucleotides) under uncultured archaeon. Its description in RNAcentral is "bacterial SSU rRNA". It matches the Rfam family "Archaeal small subunit ribosomal RNA", at positions 23 to 919 of the family's 1478-position model. The record is from RNAcentral.
GCUACUGCUAUCGGGGUUCGAUUAAGCCAUGCGAGUUAAAUGUUCUUCGUGAACAUAGCGAACUGCUCAGUAACACGUGGAUAACCUACCCUUAGGACCGGAAUAACCCCGGGAAACUGGGGAUAAUACCGGAUAAGCCAUAGGCGCUGGAAUGCCCUAUGGUUCAAAGCUCCGGCGCCUAAGGAUGGAUCUGCGGUCUAUCAGGUUGUAGUGGGUGUAACGUACCUACUAGCCGACGACGGAUACGGGUUGUGAGAGCAAGAGCCCGGAGAUGGAUUCUGAGACACGAAUCCAGGCCCUACGGGGUGCAGCAGGCGCGAACACUUUACAAUGCGGGAAACCGCGAUAAGGGAACCCCGAGUGCCAGCAUCAAAUGUUGGCUGUCCAGAUGAUUAAAAAUCAUUUGUUAGCAAGGGCCGGGCAAGACCGGUGCCAGCCGCCGCGGUAACACCGGCGGCCCGAGUGGUAGCCGUUUUUAUUGGGUCUAAAGGGUCCGUAGCCGGCCUGAUAAGUCCUUUGGGAAAUCUGGCAGCUUAACUGUCAGGCUUCUAAGGGAUACUGUCAGGCUUGGGACCGGAAGAGGUAAGGGGUACUCCAGGGGUAGGAGUGAAAUCUUGUAAUCCCUGGGGGACCAUCUGUGGCGAAGGCGCCUUACCAGAACGGGUCCGACGGUGAGGGACGAAAGCUAGGGGAGCAAACCGGAUUAGAUACCCGGGUAGUCCUAGCUGUAAACGAUGCUCGCUAGGUGUCAGACACGGUGCGACCGUGUUUGGUGCCGCAGGGAAGCCGUUAAGCGAGCCACCUGGGAAGUACGGUCGCAAGGCUGAAACUUAAGGGAAUUGGCGGGGGAGCACUACAACGGGUGGAGCCUGCGGUUUAAUUGGAUUCAACGCC